GAAAUGCGAUAAUUAAUGUGAAUUGCAGAAUUCAGUGAAUCAUCGAGUCUUUGAACGCACAUUGCGCCCCCUGGUAUUCCGGGGGGCAUGCCUGUCCGAGCGUCAUUGCUGCCCUCAAGCACGGCUUGUGUGUUGGGCUUCCGUCCCUGGCAACGGGGACGGGCCCAAAAGGCAGUGGCGGCACCAUGUCUGGUCCUCGAGCGUAUGGGGCUUUGUCACCCGCUCCCGUAGGUCCAGCUGGCAGCUAGCCUCGCAACCAAUCUUUUUAACCAGGUUGACCUCGGAUCAGGUAGGGAUACCCUCUGAACUUAAGC
RNAcentral lists this unclassified non-coding RNA (314 nucleotides) under plant metagenome. Its description in RNAcentral is "partial contains 5.8S ribosomal RNA, internal transcribed spacer 2, and large subunit ribosomal RNA". The stretch from base 1 to 105 matches the Rfam family "5.8S ribosomal RNA", at positions 50 to 154 of the family's 154-position model. The record is from RNAcentral.